CCUGGAUAGAGAUAACACCUUUGUUAUCUUUCUGAGAAUCCACCUGCCCUACUUUAGCAGAAAUGAUCAACUGAUAGUUAUAAAACCCUUGAUGUUUGUCCUUGGUUGAAAGAGUCCCACAGAGACACGAACACAUUAGCAGCCAUGGGAUGAAACAUUAGUUACUACAGCCUCAAUUGUGGGAUUUUACAGCCUGGUUAAAGGACAUGGCUACUGAGUGAGCCCACCUGACAGAUCUAUUCAGUGUUCAUCUGUGGGCUGAGGAGGUGAGGACAAGCACUAGAGAAGGGGAAGAUUGGAGGCCUCAUCUCUGUCCACGUGCUGGAGCCCAGACCUGCCUUCUAGGGGAUGUUUGAGGCCUCAUCAGAGAAGAAAUACAUUACUGUGAAUUAAUGGGCUCUGAAACAUGGGGAACAACCUGUAAGAUCAGAAGAUCUUUGACUCCAGCAGUGACCUCCUCAUUCACUUUGAGAGGGAAACAACCAGCUCUCACAUUGAACAUGAUCUCUGUAAGAAGCUGUUAUUUGAG
RNAcentral lists this long non-coding RNA (529 nucleotides) under Phasianus colchicus (ring-necked pheasant). Its description in RNAcentral is "lncRNA (ENSPCLG00000001429.1)". Lineage: Eukaryota; Metazoa; Chordata; Aves; Galliformes; Phasianidae. The record is from RNAcentral.